This 733-nucleotide ribosomal RNA is filed under the name uncultured bacterium. RNAcentral describes it as "bacterial SSU rRNA". It matches the Rfam family "Bacterial small subunit ribosomal RNA", at positions 113 to 862 of the family's 1533-position model. The record is from RNAcentral.
ACACGUGAACAACCUACCCCUUCAUUCCGGAUAAUUGGCUGAAAAGCCUUGUAAUACGGGGGAGGAUCCAGAUUAGGCAUCUUAACUGGAUCGAACAAGCAAUUGGUGCAGGGCGGGGUUCGCGGAUUAUCAGGUAGUUGGUGAGGUAACGGCUCACCAAGCCUACGACGAUUAGCUGGUCUGAGAGGAUGGUCAGCCACAUUGGAACUGAGAUACUGUCCAGACUCCUACGGGAGGCUGCAGUCGAGAAUCUUGGGCAAUGCACGAAAGUGUGACCCAGCGACGCCGCGUGAAGGAUGAAGGCCCUCUGGGUUGUAAACUUCUUUUACGGGAGAAGAAACAAUGACGGUAUCCCGUGAAUAAGCCACGGCUAACUACGUGCCAGCAGCCGCGGUAAUACGUAGGUGGCAAGCGUUGUCCGGAUUUACUGGGCGUAAAGCGAACGCAGGCGGACUGUUAAGUAGGAAGUGAAAGGUUGGAGCUCAACUCCAACAUUGCUCCCUAUACUGGCAGUCUUGAGUAGCGGAGAGGAAGGGGGAACGACACGUGUAGCGGUGAAAUGCGUUGAUAUGUGUCGGAACACCCAUGGCGAAAGCACCCUUCUGGACGCAAACUGACGCUCAGGUUCGAAAGCUAAAGUAGCGAACAGGAUUAGAUACCCUGGUAGUCUUAGCCCUAAACUAUGUUCACUAGGUGUCGGGGGGUUUCCUUCGGUGCCGCAGCUAACGCAUUA